RNAcentral lists this long non-coding RNA (1349 nucleotides) under Lactuca sativa (garden lettuce). RNAcentral's name for it is "long non-coding RNA (LSAT_LNC007646)". Lineage: Eukaryota; Viridiplantae; Streptophyta; Magnoliopsida; Asterales; Asteraceae. The record is from RNAcentral.
AAAGUUGACCAGUGUUGACUUCUUAGGGGUAGUCAACCUUAGUGUUAAAAAGUGUUAAUUAGAGACAUAUGAUGUUAUAGGAGGAUUAUAGCUCGGAGGAUCGAGCACGAGGGAUUUCCAGGUUUCGUGACUCAUCGAGAUACGCGAGGUGAGUUUUCUCACUAUACUUUACCUUGAGUAGGUAAUCAUAGCUAUGUGUCAGAGUAUGUGUAUGCUAUGUGUUGUAUUGCAUGAUGUCUAUGUGAUUUAUGCUCUGCAUGUUUAUAGAGUUGGAACCGGAAGGUUCCCAGAGUUAGAACCUGAGGGUUCACAGAGCUUGCGUGCACGGACCCAUAGAGUUAUAGCCUCGAGUGGCUAAUAUAUGUGUUAUGUUUGUGGUAUUUUGGGGAACUCACUAAGCUUUGUGCUUACAGUGUUAGUGUUGUUGUUUCAGGUACUAGCGAUGACCGUGGGAAGGCGCCGGCUUGAUCUGUACACACGCUUGGGAUUUUCGAUAUACAUUUGAUCUUGGGAUUUUGUAUAAUGUGAAUUGGGAUUUAAACUUAAUGUUUUGAUGAAAAGUUAAUGAGAAAUGUUUUAUAAAUUGUGAAAAAUUAUUUUGAAAUUCACGGUGUUACAGAUAAUAGGGGUCGAAAACGACUUUUCAACAAAAUAUUAUUUAGAAUAAAUAAUCUUAACCAAGUUGUAGAAUAUGUCUCAAGGGAUCCGCACAUAUAAAGAGCGCCGAAAUCCGAGUUAUAACGAAGAAGUUAUGACCCGUCGAAGUUUAGUGACGGAACCAGCACGACACCGCGAAGACGUAAAUAGUGAAUUUAUGAUAGAGCAUAUUUUAGCCUUAGUAAUUUAAAUGAAAGUCGUAGAAUAUGUUAACCUGAGAGUGUCCAUAAAAAGAACGCCCAAAUCUGACUUUUUAUGAGGAAGUUAUGAUUUUUCGAAGUUUCGGCUUAGCGAUGUACAACUCGAAGUUCGAGUAUUAGAUUGAGAUGAUUUUUCGAAGUUUCGGCUUAGCGAUGUACAACUCGAAGGUCGAGUAUUAGAUUGAGCGGUUUUUAGCCGACACAGCCUAAACGAGAAUCGUAGAUCUCGUUAUUAGUAGCGUAACGAUAAAAAGAGAGACGAAAAUGGACAUCGGAUGAAGAAGUUUUGAGAUUUUAACGGACCAAUCCUGUCCCGGCCUGUUAAAAAUAUAACUUUAAAAAUAAAGUCAAAAUUAACCGACGGAGUCUAAACGAAAGUUGUAAAGUACGUCUCCACUUACGCGUGGAUAUAAGCGCUGCACGAAUCUUUCUUAGAAAGAUUCAGCGACGGAGUUCUGCCCCUUCAGAGCCCGACUCCUAGCGAAAAUCCCC